AACCUUUGUUGUGUUAAGCCAUAGGUUCUGGAGUCAGCCAUUAGCCAAGCCUGACUACUGCAUAUCUCUACCUAACUGCUGCCUCAUCUAUCAUUUGAGGAGAAUGACAUCUACCCCCGGGGAUGUUGGGAAAGCAAAGACAUACUCUGAUAAAGCAGCUGCAGUUCUUAUAAAAUCCAUUGGAAUAAAAGACACACUCAGAUCUGAACAAGACACUGGUUGUCUAUCUGGUUCAGCCACAAAACUGGAAAUUAAGUGACUGAGAAGGCCUGUUGACGUAAUUGCCCAUUAUACCUUAAGCAGCUUUCCAAAACUACCUAUGCAUUAGAAAAGAAAUACUACCCAGAAGAAUCAAGUAUAUCUAGGUUCCACACACAUUUUCAUAGUUUCUCCUAGAAGAAAUGGAUUUUUGAAAGCCUGGAGGAUGUUGUGCACAGCAAAUCAAAGAUUGGAAGGAUUGCCUAAAUAGAGUCCCUCUCUUGUGAAUUCUCGCAAUGAGGCAGAUGAAAGACAUGAUGCUGGAGUCUCGUCAAGUAAUCCUCUGUAUAAAAACAUGCAAGACUUCUGCUUUCAGACAAGAUUCAAUAACAGGAUCCAGAUUUACCCUCCCACCUGAAACACCACCUGGCCAAAACAGAGACACACACGCCCACAUACAAUUUAUGAAACAAUGGUUUUAAAGACGAUGUACAUCAAGUGACAAUAAACAGAGGUGCCUGAUAAAUGCAAAAAUAAGCAAGG
RNAcentral lists this long non-coding RNA (741 nucleotides) under Equus asinus (donkey). RNAcentral's name for it is "lncRNA (ENSEASG00005029074.1)". The record is from RNAcentral. Lineage: Eukaryota; Metazoa; Chordata; Mammalia; Perissodactyla; Equidae.